CACGGUGGCUCAUGCCUAUAAUCCCAACAAUUUGGGAGGCAGAGACAGGAGGAUUGCUUGAGUCCAGAAGUUCGAGACCAGCCUGGCCAACAUAGUGAGACCCUGUCUCUAUUCACAUAUUUAAAAAUUAAAAGAAGUUUGGCAGCGUGUUCAGGAAGGACAGGACCUACUUCGAUCAUCUUACGACCAUGAGACAGGAUGGAGAAGGGAAGAAGCUUACACUUGGCAAUCUUCUAGGGAGGACUUUGGCUGAACCCAGUGAACCAGGAGGAAAAGAAUCACAAACAUCUGGAGUUUGUUGACUAGAAAAAUUCCUUGUGGUCUGACAGAUUACCAUUUCCUACCCAGCCAUUCUCAUCAGAGAAACCAGUCCCAUUUUCAACUGGCGCGGCUAGUUGAAAGUUCCACAUGUUUCCCCAGAAAAUGGCAUAGCCAGAAGGCCCUCACCAGAUUCCAGCACCAGCCUCCAGAACAUGAGCCAAAUAAAUCAUCGUUUAUAAAUUACCCAGUCUCAGGUAUUCUGUUUUAGCAACACAAAACAGACAAAAA
RNAcentral lists this long non-coding RNA (549 nucleotides) under Homo sapiens (human). RNAcentral's name for it is "non-protein coding lnc-GFM1-7:1". The record is from RNAcentral. Lineage: Eukaryota; Metazoa; Chordata; Mammalia; Primates; Hominidae.